CACUGUUGCCAGACCACAGGUGGUGGGCUGGGCUUUGUGCGGUCAUUACAGUGAGAUAUAAGAAACUGGUUUGUAUAAUGUGUACCCAUAACAUUUGCAUCAAUUCAAAGAGCAAACUGAAAUAACUUGCACCGUCGUAGAAACUCCACCCAGCUGAAUUCACACUGCACGGUAGUAAAAUUUUCAAGUCAAAUGGACUUUAGCAUUGCUAUGAAGACUUUCCCCACUGUGGCUUCCCUUCAUCACAGCCCUUGCAGCCAAGAAACCGGUCCAGAAACAGAGACAAGCCUUGAAGUGAAGCCCUUAGAAAUCAAGUCUGUGGCAGGAGAUGCAGGAAGCUGAAGAACUGAGGGGCAUCCCUGCAGAUAGCUGUGCUGCUUAGCCUCAGAUCCUGCACGUCAGCUGUUUCAGACGAGCCCUAAGAGCAGCAACCUGGACAUGUUUAUGUAGUAUAGGUAAAGGAAAAACAGAGAACCACAUUCCUGUCUGAUGCUCAGAAUAUAAAUCUGUCAAAAGAGACUUCGGAAGAGAUUUUGGCCAGGGAGUAAUGAAGUGAAGGAUCUAUAGGCUACUCUCCUUCCUGGGGCUGAUCACGACUCUCAAACUGCCACAACAAGCAGCUACUCAUACACCUCAAGUAAAACUACUCUGUUUCAGCGGGGGCCCCUGGACAACGAUGAGAAAAUUGGAAGCUCUUUGGAAGAAACAUCUGAAUAUAUUAGGCCAAAUUCUGCUAUGAGUUCUCCAAAAAGAUGGCAUCAAGUCUUACUUUAAAAAAUACAACACCAACCACCCCUCUUCCCAAGCCACUCCAGACAAUUGUCACAGCUCUUCCCCAAGCCAUGGCUUACCUGGCUUACCGGUUAGGCCACAUGUUACUGCUUAGAAGAAUAAUCCAGGAAUAUUCAACAGAACAAGCUGAAAAAAGCAGCACCACUGAGCUGCCAACAACAGAGGUUACCGAGUAAGAGGGAAAAAAAGACCAGCAGAUGGAAUGAAUAGAUAGUGGUCACCAUGACCAGGAAUAGCUUUGGUCCCAGGAAAUGGGUGCUUUUCAGCAUCUGAAGCAGAACUGCAGCCUGAGGGUUGCUGCCAAGCCUCUGUCUCACCAUCUGUGAGACUGAAGAUGCAGAAAUGCACGAUACAGGUUUUUGUCUGCAGCCUUUAUCUAGACAUUGGGAACUAUUUAUACUGCUCG
This 1198-nucleotide long non-coding RNA is filed under the name Coturnix japonica (Japanese quail). RNAcentral's name for it is "lncRNA (ENSCJPG00005021019.1)". Lineage: Eukaryota; Metazoa; Chordata; Aves; Galliformes; Phasianidae. The record is from RNAcentral.